This 12159-nucleotide long non-coding RNA is filed under the name Lynx pardinus (Iberian lynx). Lineage: Eukaryota; Metazoa; Chordata; Mammalia; Carnivora; Felidae. The record is from RNAcentral.
AGGGCAAGAAAGACUGGGCCUUCCAACCCUGCCGAUUCGAGGGAAAAUAUUUGUGUUCUAUUUCUUCAUGGUAAAGAACAGAAAAAAAAAAUCACUACACAGCUCUAGAAAAGUCUUUAGAAAAGAGAGUAGUUCGACAGUACAUGUCAGAUAAGUUUAUAAGCUAGUGAUUUUCCUACUAAGAAUGUAACUUGAGUGAGAAGGAAAGCUGGUGAGAGCAGAUAAAAAAGGGCCAGCCAGAUGUCCAAGGCCAGAUAGUCCCCUUGCUUGCUUUUGGCUUCUGUAAUCUUGCUUGCCCCCACAUCAGUCAGCAGCCAGGAACCGGAAGACUGAUUGUACUAGUCCCACCCAACCCAGAAACGCUUAGGUAUAAAGGAUCAGUAAAAUCCGAGCCGGGUGCUCAGCUUUUGGAGGUGACUCCGCUGGGACGGCACCGGUGCGAAAUAGUCUUUUUUAAUUCCCUGAGUGUGUGUCGCUUGUCUUUUCCUCGACUAUUUGCUGUAAUAUUUUUGGUGCAUUGGCCAGGAAGCCGACAGCCGUGCUGGCCCCUUGAGUCACCACUGUGGGAGGCCACGGAAAGCCCACUCAUCGCGGGGCCCUGUGAUAAAGGAAGGUACGCCACCACCUUGACCGCGACCCUCACCAGGCCCGACAGUAGUCAGCCGCCGCUGUUUUCAGACGGACUCCAGGGGAGUCAGAAAAUUCUGCCAGGACGGGACAUCGGAUCGGGUGAGUGUCCCCGAGGACCCAGCACCGAGUUCAGGCCCGCCCUAGGACAGGGAAGUCCCAGGUGGAAGUCUGUAAUCUGUCUGAAUGUGUGUGUGAGUGCUACACGGUCUCGGCCAAGGAGCCUGAGUGGGUCCUACCCUGUGAUUCCUUGACAGCCUCAUACGGCUCAAGGCAGAAUCAGGUCCGCCGAGGCCUGAUCUGAGUCGGGUUUAUACUGACCUGCCAAUGUUAAGAGGCAUCUGAGUACCUUCGAGGAGAGCGGCCAGGUGGACGAAGCGACCCCUUCCCUCGUGUUUGUCCUGCGACACCGCACAUUGGGAAGGACCCAUCUGGGAUACCAGGAUGGGGGGGGGGGGUUCCUCAAAACCAACUGUUUUGGAAUGUGUGAUAAGAAUUUUAAAAAGGGAUUUUCAGGUGACUGUGGGGCCAGAUUGACCCCCGGGAAAUUACGAACCCUCUCUGAAUUAGAAUGGCCUGCGUUUGGUGUAGGCUGGCCCCCUGAGGGCACCCUAGAUGUCCCCCCAGGCUGAGCUGUUUAUAAAGUAGUUACUUGAGACCCCGGCCACCUGGAUCAAUUCCCAUACAUCGAUCAGUGGCUGGAAAUAGCCCAAGUCAAGCCUCCUUGGGUUCAGUAAAGGACAGUGUAGGGUCUUAGUGGCACGGGCUGAGAAGACCUCACAACAGAAAAAAACGCCCCCGUCCUCGAAGAAAAUUUAGACAUCCUUCCUUUUCUGCCACCCUAUGCCCCCAGAGUCCCAUCAGUCGAGGGAGGGGAACCUCGCCUGGCUGACAGUCCACUCCCAUCGGUCUCACCCCCGCCAGCAGUCAGCCCGCCCCCACCAGGGAUACCUGAACCAGUAGGAAGGUGCCGUAGGUCCACGGCUCAGGGUCCAAGGCCCCGAUGGCAAUGCAGAUGCCAUUGCAGGAGACGGGUCCGCAGAGAAUAGGCCCCGAUGGGACCCUUUCUACUACCAACGGUUCUCCACUACUGACCUCCUCACCGGGAAACACCACACUCGCCCAACUCUGAGAGGCCGCAGGCGAUGAUCUUCUAGAGUCCAUAUUCCAGACUCAACGCCCUGCCUGGGUCAACUGUAAGCAGCUUCUGCGUCCCCUUUUCAACACAGGAGAGCGCCAGCGAAUUGUCACCGAAGCCAGAAGAUGGCUCCCGAGUCAAGCACCAGAUGGACAACUAGACGUUGAGGCUUAGGCACGGGAGGCUGUGCCCAAAGAGGAACACAGAAGUGGGAAGGGCCAGACUAGAAAGAUACCGACUGGCCUUCCUCCAAGGGGUAAAAGCAGGGACCAGACAGCCUGCCAACGUGGCAAAAGUAUCUGAGGUGUGUCAAAAGCCAGAAGAGAGUCCGGCUGACUUCUGUGAAAAUUACGUGAAGCCUUCAGAGUUUACACUCCAUCGACCCAGAAGCCCUCAAAAACCAGCACAUGGUCACUGCUGCCUUUGUGGGAUAGCCCCAUAGUGACAUUAGACAGAGGCUCCAAAAAUUGGAAGGAUUUGGUGGAAAGAACGCCACCGAACUAUUGGAAAUCGCCAACAAGGUUUUUGUAAAUUGGGGCCAAGCUGCCAGAAAGGAGGCGGACAGCAGAGUGAAACGGAAGGCAGCUCUCCUGGCCGCGGCCUCGGGGCGACCACCCCCUGUGGAAGGGCACGGAAACCACAAGGGGCUCGAGAACAAAAAAGAAGGGCGCCGCUGGGAUGGGGUCAACGUGUCCGCUGCAAGGAAUGCGGACCCUGGAAAAAUGAAUGGCCCAGCCGCCAAAAAGGGAAACCAAAAGCUUCUACUCCACCGAGAUGCUACCAACCAGAACCACCCGAGGCCGACCUGAUCGGUGUCCAGCUGGGCCCCCAUGAGCCCAUGGUCAAAAUGAAGGCGGGGGGCCAGACAAUAGACUUCAUGGUCGACACGGGGGCCGAACACUCUGCGGUGACACACAGGGUGGCACCUCUGUCGGGUCGAGAAGUCACCAUCGUAGGAGCCACUGGGAUGCAAACCUGAAGGCCAUUUUGCCGUCCCUGACAGUGACCUGGGAGGUCACCAAGUAGUUCACGAAUUCCUGUAUCUACCUGACUGCGCACUGUCACUGUUAGGUAGAGACCCCCUAGCCAAGAUGGGCGCUCAAAUAGCCUUCACCUUGGAUGCACGGACACAACAGCACCUAAAUGAAAAGGCCCAACCCAUGGUUUUGUCCCUGACGAUUCCACGGGAAGAGGAAUGGAGAUUAUAUACUUCCCCUCUCGGUGAGCCAACUGUGGCCCCCGAGCUAGAAGCUGAAUUCCCUUCAGUUUGGGCAGAAGGGACCCCCCUCUCAUCUGCAAAAAGCCCCCCCCCCCCCAAUAUUAAUUGACCUAAAGCCUGGGGCCCAGCCUGUCAAAAUAUGCCCAUACGUGAUCUCAUGGGAGGCUCACCCGGGGAUCCAGACGCUCUUGGACAGGCUCUGGUAAAACGAUGCCAGUCCCCGUGGAAUACCCCCUGCUGCCCGUGAAGAAGCCGGGGACAGAUGAUCACCGCCCCGUGCAGGACCUAAGAGCCGUAAAUGGAGCAGUCGUCAGGCUGCAUUCAGCAUUGCCCAACCCGUACGCUCUGCUAGGACUCAUACCCUCUGAGGCAGGGUGUUUCACGUGUCUAGAUUUAAAGGACACCUUCUUCUGUCCCCAGCUAGCGCCUAAUAGCCACCCCCUGUUUGCCUUUGGAUGGGAAAACCCUACCACAGGAGCAAACGAACAAUUCACUUGGACUAGACUGCCGCAAGGAUUAAAAAAUCCACCAGCCUUAUUCAGUGGGGCACCGGCAUCUGACUUAGCCAGGUUCCUGGGACGGGACCUAGGAUGUGUCCUCCUCCGGUACGUGGACAAUCUCCUGCCAGCCAGUCCCAGGCGGACCCAGUGCUGAGAGGGAACCAGGGCCCCACUCAGGCCGCUGGCAGAGGUGGGAUACCGGGUGUCAAAGAAAAAGGCACAGAUUUGCCCGUAGGCAGUUAAAUAUUUGGGCUUCAGAAUUACUCAAGGCAAACGGAUGCUGCGAGCCGAAAGGAAACAGGCAGUCUGUGCCAUCCGGUUCCCACUCCUCACUAGCAGGUCCAAGAGUUCCUGGGAGCAGCAGGAUUCUGUCGGAUAUGGAUCCCAGGGUUCUCGGAGUUGGCCAGACCUCUCUAUGAGGCACCAAAGGGGGAAGAAAGGGCACCCCUUUUCUGGGGCCCUCAUGAAGAAAAGGUAUUUUAAAACCAUAAAAACAAAACUCGCAGAGGCCCCGGCCCUGGGACCUCCAGAUGUAUCACGAGAUUUCAGUCUGUUCGUACGUGAAAGCAGUGGGGUGGCCCUGGGGGUUCUCACCCAGGACUUUGGAGCUUGACAAAGACCAGUGGCAUAUCUUUCAAAGCAGAUUAACUCAGCUGUGGGAGGACGGCCACCCUGUCUGAGGGCCCUGGCAGCCACCGCACUUGUGAUCAAGGAAGCAGGCACACUCAUGUUGGGGCAAGACCUAAGCUCUGAGGUUUCCCGUGCUGUUAUUACCGUGAUAGAUGCCGGAGGGCAACGCUGGCUGACACGUGCUCGGAUGACAGUGUCGGGGAGCGCUGUGUGGUCCCACGAAUCAGAUCGGAAGCCGUAGAAACUAAACCCUGCCACUUUCUUGCCUGCAGCGGCAGGGCCCCCAGAGCAUGAUUGUCUAGGGGUCCUUGAUGGAGUCUUUUCCAGCCGAUCCGACCUAUCAGACAGACCCUUACAAAAUCCUAAUCUCACCCUGUACACCGACGGCAGCAGCUUCGUGAACGCCGGUUACACAGGAGUCUCUGAUUUCGAGGUCACAGAAGCAGAGGCCCUUCCACAAGGACGACCAGCUCAAAGAGCAGAACCGUGGGCCCUAAUGAGAGCACUAGAACUCAGGAAGGACAGACAGGCCAACAGACACGCUGACUUGCGCCAUGCCCUUGCCACUCUACCUGCACGUGGGGCCCUACACAAGGAGAAUGGACUUUUGACCACAGGAGGGAAAGAAAGAAAAAAUUGGGAAGAAAUCCUAAAACUACUGAGGGCAGUCUGGGAACCGAGGAAGGUAGCAGUCAUCCACUGCAGGGGACACCAAAGGGGAAAGGACUCUGUGUCGGAAGGUAACUGACGGGCGGACGCCGCAGCUAAACAAGCAGCGGGAGAAUGAACGGCACCCUCGAAAAUCACGCUGGCCCCGGAGCUGCCGGCUUCCCCAAGGUACACGAUCCAAGAGACAAAAUGGGCACAGCAGGAAACAGGAGGCCAGACGGAAGGGUGGUGGGUACUUGCGGACCAAAGAGUCUGUGUACUGGAGCCGCUAGCCCGCCAGGUGGUUCCCAGCAGCCUGAGCUCCCCCACCCGGGAAGAACCGCCCUUGAAACCUUAUCGGGCUGUUACUAUGUAAUCGCUUGGCUCCCGUCCUUCUGUGCCUCGGUCUCUCAACGCUGCCUCCUCUGUGCUCAAAAUAACACCAGACAGGGCCCCACUGGACCCGUGGGAAUCCAUUGCUGCGGUCAGGCACCCUUCAAAGAUUUGGAGGUAGGCUUUACCGAAAUGAGAACCGGCGGAGGAUACGAAUUUCUUCUAUUCAUCUGCACGUUUCCGGGCUGGGCGGAGGCCUACCCCACACGCACCGAAAAGGCAAGAGUAGUAACCAAGGCCUUGCUAAGGGAUAUCAUCCCCAGACGUGGAAUGCCGUGAACCAUGGGCUCAGACAGGGGCCCGGCUUUUGUGGCCGAGGUGAUGCCUAAAGUAUCCCUGGGCAUCCGAUAGAAUUUACACGCAGCCUACCAGCCCGAGUUCAGAGAAAGUGGAACGUAUGGAACCGGACCCUUAAAUCAGCCAUGGCAAAACUGCGUCAGGAAACUAAUUUGCCAGACAUACGACCUCUGUCUAGCUCUUCUCCAAAUACGCUGUACACCCCGGGCAAAAAUCGGAUCCUCCCCAUUCGAUACCCUCUCUGGAAGAUCCCCUCCACUAGUCAAAUUCAAGGGGGACCUGACAGAACUAGGGAAACAAGAAUUAGGGAAAACUAUUUGGGAUACACACAUGGUGACGGACAGGAUACCUAUUUCCCGUGGGAUAGCUGUACAUCCCACAAACCUGGGGAUCCGGUUUGGAGUAAAGAUAAGAAAAGGAAACCACUCAAACCUACCUGGAAGGAACCCUAUUUCGUUGUGCUAACCACGCCCACGGCCCUCAAGCUCGCAGGACUAACCGCCUGGAUCCACCAUUCUCGAGUAAAGGCGGCCCGCCCGUCGCCUGACAACCACUUGGAAUGGAAAGGAACUGCGCGAGCCAGAACAGUCCUCUACAGACCACCCUUAAGAGCACAGCGCCGAUAAGCGGCCUGCAGCCGACCCCUGAGGGCUCUGGGUAAGCAGAAGCUUGAGGAAAUCACCAAGCGACCUCAGUGACCUCCAGCACCUCGUUCUCGAAUUUCCCUGUCAUCCCCUGCCCGUUUCUUUUGCCAUGCUUGUCGCCAUGCUGUCUGCUUAGGGCUGACCCAAGUUACUCCACAGACGGGCGCCUCAGUCACUGACUCCUGUUAGCCUCCCUCUGCUCACUAGUGUCAGGAUGCCUCGUUCUCCUUAGGUGUGCACGAUCUGAGUUGUGAUAGAUGUCCUCUGCACGUUGUUCUCUGCCUUUAGAACCGUCUCACAGCCCCGGAAGGGCUGGCCCUGUCUCCCGUCCCCGUGGCGCAUAUCCCUGUUCCUAACCUGCUCAGAAAGAGUCUGCUCUCUCCCGUCAUGCAGAUGUGUGACCUGUCACUCCCCGCCUGUCCCCCAAGGCCCGAAGAGCCACUCUGUGCUCCCCACCCCUGGACCCCAUCUGUCGUCAUGAGGGCCAGACUUCUGUAACAGACGCAUGGGGUUGCACUGCCUGCUACCCCACUCGGCCUCCUACAGAGGCCACUCCUUUCCCUGUGCCCUUCCCGACUCCUGCUCCAACCCUCCGGUUCUCAGAGGUCAGACGACACUACCACGUGUCCCUGUGCCACCGUGUACCCCCACGUGCCGGACAGAUGUUAUACCAGGAGGGUCACUCCCUGUACCAGAAGCAGGAAAACUUACUGGACGGGAAAAAUGAAAAUGAGACGUUACUGGGGGCUGCCUGAUCCGACCUGCCCUGAUGCUCCCCUUGCCUGUUGGGUCAUCCUCCGUGGGAACAUAAAUCAGGUAGACCACUUGUCUUAGAUCCCCGACUGGACCAGAUGUUAAACGCAGCUCAUCGCCUCCUCAGUGCUACCAAUCCUGCCGGCUCUGCUUGUCCGCGGGACCCACCCGUUAGGCAGCUAGUCCGAUAACACAGGCCCCUGUAAAUGUUACCCUGCUACCAAAAGACCCAGAGCCCUGCACGGUGAGACCUAUACCAACUGGAGUCGAACUGCCCCCAGUGGCUCCCAGUUGCCUGACAGACAAGAGGGGAACAGAGCCAUUUGGCAUUCUGACCGCUGGCCAGUGCAACCAAAGUCUUGACAGUCAGGAGCUCAGUCAUCUUCCUACGAGCCAAGCCUGGUGUCGACCCCUCCCAGGGCUUCUCUUUAUCUGUGGGACGGACGCCUCCCUAUGUCUGCCAGCUGACUGGACGGGCACUGUACCCUGGCCUUCCUCCUCGUAAGAUAAACGUUGUUCCCAACAAUCAGUCUCUUAGAGUACCCGUGGCAGCACAUACUCGCUCAAAAAGAGCCACCCAAGUCAUCCCCCUGCUGAUUGCCUUAGGGAUGCGGCAGGGGUGGGCACUGGAGUAGGAGGAACCGCGUCCUCACCCACUUACUGCCAUGAAUUGUCCAGGGACCUAACAGACGGCACAGAACGGGUUAUCAAACCUCUGGUGGUGUUACAAGCCCAAGUAGACUCCCUAGCAGCGGUAGUCUUACGGAACAGAAGAGGGCUGGGCCUCCCACUGCUGAAAGGGGAGGACUGUGUCUCUUCCUGAACAAAGACUGCUGCUUCUGUGUCAGCCAGUCAGGGACAGUCGGAGGUAUGGUCCACAGGUUAAGGGAGCGAAUCACCAAACGAGGCAGGAACAGUUCCUCCUGGAACUGUUGGAGGAACAUGUAGAAUUGGGCGUCCUGGCUCCUCCCUUAGCUGGUCCUCUCCUGGUGCUUGUCACAGCCCUCCUGUUUGGUCCUUGUGUUCUUACUACGCUAACCAGGUUUGUUUCCUCCCGCCUGGAAGCUGUAACACUCCAGAUGGACCGUUCUAGCUGUCGCUACUCUCCUUUGGAUGGCGAAGAACCCUGGCUGUCACUUUCCUCCCCUCGACAUCCGUGUCCAGGGGGAAGAAGCCAGAACGGCCUUUGCCCCUCCCCCCGUGGCAGCAAAGGGCCCCCUGGCCCCCACGAACUGAUUUUCUCUAAGCCUGCUACAGCAGCUUGAGAAUCAAGAGCGGGGAAUGAGAAGGAAAAUUGGUGGGAGCAGAUAAAAAAGGGCCAGCCAGGUGUCCGAGGCCGGAUUCUCCCCCUGUAGGCUUGCGGCUUCUGUAAUCUUGCCCCUUACGGCAGCCAGCAGCCAGGAACCAGAAGCUUGACUGUCCUAGUCCCGCCCAACCCGGAAGCACAUAUGUAUAAAGGGUCAGUAAAACCCGAGUCCGGGUGCUCAGCCUUUGGAGGUGACUCCGCUGGGCCAGCACCGGUGCGAAAUAAACAGUCUUUUCUGUCCCCGAGUGUGUAUCGCUGGUCUCUUCCUGGGCGCCGAGUUCUUGCUGUAACAUGAGGAACUGAUGAGAGAUGUUUCUUAAGGAUUUGUGAACAGGUGGUUGACGGAAGCAUCAUAUGCAACAGUAAAAAGAAUGAAUAUCCAGUAUCAGAGGACGGGCCUUGGGUCACUUACACAAUGGAAUGUUAUAUCGUAUUAGUAAUCAUAUUAUGGAUGAAUAGUUUACGGACAUGGGCGAUACCAAAAUGUGUUACAUUUAAUAAGCGGAUUGGGGCACCUGGGUGGCUCUGUUGGUUGAGCAUCCGACUUCAUUUUGGCUCAGAUCGUGAUCCCAGGGUCGGGAGAUCGAGCCCCACAUCAGGGUCUGUGCUCAGUGUGGAGCCUGCUUGAGAUUCUCUCUCUCUCUCCCCCCUCCCCCCUCCCCCCUCCCCCUCUCCCUUCUCCCCUCCCCCUUCUCCCCUCCCCCUUCUCCCCUCUCCCCUCUCCCCUCUCCUGCCCCUACCCAGCUUGUACUCACUGGUUUGAGCACUCUCUCUCUAAAUAAAAUAAUAAAGGUAAAAAGCAGAUUAAAAUAAUGUAGUAGUAUGAUAGAAAUAAUACAGAAAGGGAAAAACAGAAUUUGUAGCCUGCUCUAUUAAGUACAAAUUUGUAAACUGUUUGAUUUCAUUAAUUCAUUCAACAAAAUACACUGACGAUGUAACAGUAACAGGUUAAAAAUGUAAUUUACAGUGCGCCUGACUGGCCUGAUGGAGGGUGCAACUCUUGAUCUCAGGGUUGUGGGUUUGAGACCCACAUUGGGUCUCUUUAUUUAUUCAUUUAUGUAUUUUGGUUUCAGGGGUAGAAUUCGGUGAUUCAUCCCAACGGGUGCCCUCCUGAAUCCCCGUCACCUGUUCAGCCCAUCCCCUACCCACCUCCCUCCUUCAACCCUCAGUUUGUUCUCUCUUUAAGAGUCUCUUAUGGUUUGUUUCCCUCUCUUUUUUCUUGUUCUUUCCCCCAGCCACGUGUUCAUCUGUUUUGUUUGUUAAAUUUCACAUACGAGUGAAAAUAUACGGUAUUUGUCUUUCUCUGACUUACUUGCUUAGCGUAAUACACUGUAGUCCCAUCCACGUCAUUGGGAAUGGCAGGGUUUCAUUUUUUUUUUUUUGUCAAAAUAGUAUUUAUUUAUUUGUAAAUGUUUAUUUUGAGAGAGAGGGAGAGGGAGUGCGAGGGCCUGAACAGGGAAGGGCAGAGAGAGAAUCCCACACCGUCAGCACAGAGCUCCACGCAGGGCUUGGUCCCAUGACCCUCAGAUCGUGACCUGAGCUGAAGUCAAGAGUUGGAUGCUCAACCACCUGAGCCACCCAGGUGCCUCAAGGUGUCAUUCUUUGGGAUGGCUGAGUAAUAUUCCAUCGUGUAUAUAUCACAUCUUUAUCCGUUUAUCAGUCGAUGGACAUUUGGGCUCUUUUCAUAGCUCGGCUGCUGUCGAACAGCCUCGCUCUCCAUUGGCAAAUUUAAAACGAGAGCGGGAAUGAGGGCGCGGGAAGAGAGAAGUAGGGUCAUUCAAGUGGUUGUCUAGCUCACCCAGAGCUUCAGACAAGGGGAGCGGCCCGGCCCCUUGUCUAGUUGUUAACUAGUAGGUUUGUGUUGCGGCUGCUGGCGGUAUGUUUGUUCCAGACGGAUGUCUUUGAAAUGGACGCUUCUGCGACCCAAAGCUUCGUGUCAGGGACUCGUGUUACAAAUACACACGCUGGCCUCUGCCCCCAGUGCCUGACCCUGGGCUCCUUAAUCCCUUGGAAUUUCCUGGGUGGCCGGAGUGUCUUCUAGUUUGAGGAGGCGGCUCUUGGUGGGCUCCGGAUAGCUCCCGGGCGAAGGCUGGUCACUAGAAAGACCAAACCAAGAUUAGAAGCUUGCAACCUCCAGCGCCGUCCUCCAGGGGGCGCAGAGGGGCUGGAGAUGGAGUUGAGCACCAGUCACGCCCACGUGAUGGGUCUCCAUGAACAUCCCUAAGGCGUGGGGAUCCGAGGCCUUCCAGGUUGGUGAACACAUCCACGUGCCGGGAGAGUGGCGCGCCCCCACGCCACGACACGGUGGCUCCCGCGUUCGGGAUCCUUCCUGGCUUUGCCCCGUGCCCCCCUCAUCUGGCUGUUCCCUGGAUCCUUUAUUACAUAAUAAACUGGUAAACAUAAGUGUUCCCUUGAGUUUUGUGAGCGAUCCUAGCAAAUUCUUGAACCCGAGGAGGGGAUCCCGGGAGUCCUGGAUUUGUAGCCAGGUCGGGCAGAAGUGUGGGUGAUGAGGACCCACCGCCUGGGAUUGGCGUCUCUGAAGUGGGGGGAUCUCAUGGGGCCGAGCCCUGGCCCUCUGGGGUCUGUGCUAACUCCAGUUGGCGUCUGCAUUGAGUGAAAUUGGAGGACACCCAGCUGGUGUCCACAGAAAAGGAGAAUCGCGUGAUGAACAAAAUCCUACAUAGCCGGGACCAGACAGCACUUUGCGUCUACAGACAGCUGGUUUUUCCUCUCCAGUUGGAUGUGGGCGGGAGGCACGGGGCGAGUCAGGGACGGUCCGAGCCAUGCGGCUGGAGCGCCCAGGGGGAUGGUGCUGUUCUCUAAGAUGGGGACCCCGGGGGUCGGGGUUCCAGGGAAUCUCAAGGUCCCCUACUUGUCCUCAGCACCCAGACUUGGGCUGUGGCAGGCUGCCUCGUGUCUCACCAGGCGUGCUGGGCCUCCCUUCACCCCAGCCCCCAACCCGGAUGGGUGUCCCCAUCCCAGCCACCGACCUAGGCCCUAGAGCUGUGUGUCCUCCUGGCUGGAGAAACCACACUGACUUACCCAGAAGCCAUCAGUCAGCCGUAACCAGCAGCCAUGCACUGCCCCGGGGGGUGAGGGGGAGGAGGAACGUAGUCGGAGGUGGCUCUCCACCCCGCGGGGGAGGCCGGGGCUGGUUUUCCGUGCUUCCUCUCCGCAGGCAUGACGUGGCUACGCGGGUCACCUGGGGGGCUAGUCACGGCUUGGUAGGAAACCCCCAAAGGAAGGGCUAGGAGCACCUGUUAGUCCCAGCUCUGUUACUGGAUCUUGUGCAGCAUUCACUUCCUUUCCGUGAGUCCUUGGCCAUGACUUCUGACCUCGAGACUGAGGUCCUGCCCUCUCUUCUUGGGCCAUGAGUCACUCCUACAUCACCACGAGUACUGGAAGCUGCCCAGCCUGGCGAUGGGCACCCAGCGAGUCAGCUCAGCCAGCUUGCCCGUUGCCCUCUGUCCUCCUUCCCAGCAGGCUCCUCUGGGCCCGGCCCUCCCCAGCCCAGAGCUCCCCUCUGCUUCCUGGUGGCGGAGAAGUGCCCAGCCCUUCUCGGCUGGUCUCUGUCUCGGUGUCGUGGUCAGAACAGGUUCCAGUGGGUCCCAGGUGGGAGGGGGAGGGAUGCCGGAGUGCUGGGGAGUCCGGCUCUAUUAUGAGCUGGUAAGGUGGUGGAUGACGCUCAGGGACAUGCAGGGCAGAACUUCACAGUGGGCCGUCCGGGAGCGGGGGAAGGCCUGUUUUGUGGCCUUUGGUGGUAUGUCCAUUGUCCCGUCGUGCACGGCUGGUCUCAGGACACUGCUGUGAUGUGAGCUCUUGCCAACUUCCCACCAGCUUCACCAUCAGCUCCUGCUAGCUAGUCGGAGCCCUUGUUAACACAUCCCCGUGGUAAACGUUCAAUUGAUUUUUUUAAAUAGGCUCCGUGUUCAACGUGAGACUUGAACUCGGGACCCUGAGAUCAAGAGUCGCACGCUCUACAGACUGAGCCAGCCAGGCGUCCC